RNAcentral lists this ribosomal RNA (496 nucleotides) under uncultured bacterium. Its description in RNAcentral is "bacterial SSU rRNA". It matches the Rfam family "Bacterial small subunit ribosomal RNA", at positions 903 to 1397 of the family's 1533-position model. The record is from RNAcentral.
AAAGGAAUUGACGGGGACCCGCACAAGCGGUGGAGCAUGUUGUUUAAUUCGAAGCAACGCGAAGAACCUUACCUACACUUGACAUACCUCUUAGGACUUUCAGAGAUGAUUGUUUUCAGUUCGGCUGGGGAGAGUACAGGUGCUGCAUGGCUGUCGUCAGCUCGUGUCGUGAGAUGUUGGGUUAAGUCCCGCAACGAGCGCAACCCUUAUCGUAUGUUGCCAGCAUUUAGUUGGGCACUCAUGCGAGACUGCCGGUGAUAAGCCGGAGGAAGGCGGGGACGACGUCAAGUCAUCAUGGCCCUUACGUGUAGGGCUACAAACGUGCUACAAUGGUGGUGACAGUGGGCACUGAGGCUGUGAGGCCAAAGUAAUCCCUAAAAGCCAUCUCAGUUCAGAUUGUAGUCUGCAACUCGACUACAUGAAGUUGGAAUCGCUAGUAAUCGUGAAUCAGCAUGUCACGGUGAAUACGUUCCCGGGUCUUGUACACACCGCCCGU